Molecule: long non-coding RNA, 1497 nt
Filed under: Malus domestica (apple)
Lineage: Eukaryota; Viridiplantae; Streptophyta; Magnoliopsida; Rosales; Rosaceae
Description: long non-coding RNA (MDOM_LNC000174)
Source: RNAcentral
CCCAAGUCAAAAAACCUAAGGGCCUUUGCAGGAAAUCCCUAACCCCAAUUGAGCUCCGAAUAGGGGUUUAAAAAGUGAGUGAGAAAAUAGAACAAGGUGAGUUUAGAGAAUGUGAAAAUCCAGUUAUAAUACCAAAAGUUGAUAACAGUAUGAUUGCUAACUAUCCAUCUAAUUUCCUUAACCAGGAUUUAGGAUUUUAAAAUAGGGAACUUUAACGAAAAGCUUCCGGUAUUGUUCACUUUAACGAAAAAUCACAUUUUUACACCAAAAAGUCAAUCCUGGUACUAUUCACAUUACCCUUUAUUUUAUUAUUUUCAUUAAAACUCAAAGUUUCCAAGCUAUUUUCAUUAGUUUUAUCUUUCAAAUACCUUUGACACAUCCCGACCGAGAUCAAGGCAUGCUAGCCGUCACGUGAAGGAGACGUAGCCAUGUGCACAGUGCGGAAACAAUGAAGAUAGGAAUUAUAUGAAUAAUUAAAAACUGAAACUACUAGAGUGCACUACUAAACAGGAAGUGUUAGGAGUAAGAUACAAAAGUAAACACUCCUAAUGUGCAGUCCAGUAGAACAAGUACUAAUUAUAUAGUACCACAAGAUGUCUUACAAUUAUUUAGAUAUGUCAGUACCGCCGAAGUCCUCGCACCCAACAACUGCAAACUUACCUAAAACCUGCAGGGCCGCAAAAUAGAAAACGUGAGUGGGUAAAAACAAAUGUUUUACAAAACCAUUUCAUUUAUCAACAUAUCUAACCCCUCGCUGUAAAACAUGUAUAAUUUUUCCCAAAAUCAAGAUAUAUGCAUAUACAUAAAUAUAUAUGAAAUUAUACCAAUUCAAAUCAUGCUUUACAUAAUCAUAUUCAUAUGUAUGCCAUGCCAAGAUAUAACAGAGUAAGCAAUUCAGGUAAGAAUAAUUUCAUAGCUCAACAUCAAUCUAGCCGGAGUCACUACAAUGACCUAUACGGCAACAUACUGCACAAGAGUCGGAACCAAAGGAAAAGGUCUGUACGACAAUAAUGGGUGUAAUAUAAUUAUGCUCAAUACUACUCUCACAUAAUAAUUGGGCGAUAAAUCUCUAGUCACCUACGAGUCGGAACCACCUAAGAUUGUCUAUGCGACAAGACUGUGCACCUAAAUUGGAUCCAAUAUGAGCAUAUGGUGCGGGAGGUGACAUAGUAAACAGGCAUGUGCCAUAACUUUGGUUAAAUCAUAAUCACCCUAGGUGCAGUCUUAUGAGCUCAACAUUAUUCAAUCACAUAUCACAUCAUUGACAAUUCACAUAACCAAACAUAACUCACCUGAGCUUACCUGAGCGUCCACAUCACCACAUUUAUAUAUAUAUAAACCAUCAUAAACCAAUUCAUAUACGAAUUAUACUUAUAUGCAUGGCAUUUACAACAUACUUUCAUUUAAACACAUAUUUAUGGGAAAAUAUCAAGUAUAUAAAUAUAUACUGAAAACCAAAAGCCUACUCACUGGUAUGUCGAAGGGUCGUAGCCCCCG